CCCUGCUUCCUGCUGGCUGAGAGCGCCGAGCGCGCCGCCGGAGGCUGGGGGACGUGGAGGCUCGGGGCUGGCAGCCUGACUGGCUUCCUGCAGGGCGUGGUUUCUGAAACCUCCGUGCGGAGGCACCUUCCCCAAAGUCGCCCCUUCCACCCUCCACACCUCCGCCGCGGCGCUUCUUCCCCGCCUCCCGGGCCGGCCGGCCCCACGGCUACGUCGUCAGACUGCCUGGAGGAGUUUCUUGUCAGGGCUUCUGAAUAGGUUUGAGGCAAAGGCUUCCGGAGGGACCCCCAUUCCAGGACGGGUCCGGCCCCACCCAGCUUGGCGAAGCAGGUGCGUCUCCAACGCCACCUGGUGGCCGUCAGGAGCCCCGCAGCGCCAUCUGGAGCUCCCGGGAAUUCCGCUGAGUCACUUCCGAGGCUUCAGCGGCAGACCCAGAGGGAACAAUAAGGAUCGUUGGAUUCCCGAGGCAGUGGUUCAGCGUUCACCUGGAAGACCCGGCCCGUCCCUUGUCUAAAGGCCUCGUCGUGGCCAACGAGGCCAACCCCACCUCGUCCCCUGCCGCUCUCCCCCAUCCAUCCUAGUGGCCACGCAGGCUCCUGCCUCAGGGCCUUUGCACUAGCUUGUGCCCUCCGACUGGCACGCUUCUCCCUGGGCACCUGUAGCCUGCACAUCCUUCCCACCGUCACUGCCAAGGCAUCUGCUCCAGCGGGGAUGUGUCAGAGAAGAGCAAGGUGGGAGCUGCCAGCCUGACCCGCAGAUGCUCGUUUGGGCAGUUAGAUUGGAAAAGAUGCAAACUACUAACUGGGAGCGCCACAUGCCGUAUGGUGCAAGUGGACAGGUGUGUGCGCCCGGUGUGCGUGACCGUGUGACUGUGCAAGGCUGCCCGUGCGAAGCGUAGGCACCGGCGCGCUGAGCUUUCUUCCCGUGAAUUCCCCGCCAGCCCGGAUGCCGGUCUUGCAGCCAUUGUGUCCCAGCUCCAAGCCCACCUUUCAGAGCGAGGCUCCUGCUGGGGGCUGCAAACUACGAUUCCCAGAAUCCCUGGUCGCCCCCGGAAUUCCUGCUGGGUUCGGCCAAUAGGAGCCGCCGGGACUCUUAACCUUUCGGAUGCUGGGGACUUUGCAGUCGCCUUUAGCAUCUGAGGGUGACAUAGGGAGCCUUUCUCAGAAUCGUGCUUUUAAAAAAAAAGUUGAAGCCUUUAAGUUGUGUUUUUAUUGUAUCCUGCCUUUUUAAAAUUGUGGUAAAAUAGCAUAACAUAACAUUUCCCAUCUUAAACAAUUUCAACUGUGGAGUUGAGUCAUAAGUAUCCACUCUGUUGUGAAACAGCACUCCAGAACUUUCUCUCUUUGCAAAUCUGAAACUCUAUACCCUUUAAAUUCUCCUUUCCCCUAAACCCCCUGGUAAUCACCCUUGUACUUUUUG
Long non-coding RNA from Ailuropoda melanoleuca (giant panda), 1419 nucleotides. RefSeq lists it as uncharacterized. Lineage: Eukaryota; Metazoa; Chordata; Mammalia; Carnivora; Ursidae. The record is from RefSeq and is a predicted model, not a curated record. The transcript has 3 exons.